GAAUUUUUUUAUUAUUAAUUUAUUUUCUAAUUUUUAGUUAAUAAUUUAUAGUAUAUAAUAUAUAAAGGGAUAAGCUUUUAAUUAUAUAAUUAAAAAUUUAUAUAUUUUAUUUUAUGUAUAAUUUAUAUUUUUAAUCAUAUUAAUAAUUUAAUAGUUAAUUUUAUUUUUAUUUAAGAUUUAUAUUAAUUUUAAUUUUUAUAUUAAAAAAUUUUGUUUAAUAUUUUUUCUAAAGUUAUAAUAAUUAAAUUAGUAGAUAAUUUUGUAAAUAUUUAAAAUAUUUAAGGUAAUAAAAAGGAAUUUGGCAAAUAGAUUUUUUGCCUGUUUAUUAAAAACAUGUCUUUUUGAUUAUAAUUUAAGGUUUAAUCUGCUCAGUGAAUAUUUAAAUUGCCGCAGUAUUUUGACUGUGCAAAGGUAGCAUAAUAAAUAGUUUUUUUAUUGGAAGCUGGAAUGAAUGAUUGGACAAGAGAAUUUCUGUCUCUUUAUUAUUUUUGUUUAAUUUUACUUUUAAGUUAAAAGGCUUAAAUAUUAUUAAAAGACGAGAAGACCCUAUAGAGUUUAAUUUGUAUUAUUUAAAUUUUUAUUGGAAUUUUAAAAAUUUAUUUAUAUAUAAAUUUAGUUGGGGUGACUAAAAGAUUUAUUUAACUCUUUAAAUUAGAAUCAGUUAUUUUUGAAUAUAAAAUUUAUAUUUUUAAAUUUAAAAUUAAUUACCUUAGGGAUAACAGCGUAAUUUUUUUUAAAAGUUCAUAUUAAAAGAAAAGAUUGCGACCUCGAUGUUGGAUUAAAAUUUAUUUUAGGUGAAGAAGCUUAAAUAUUGAGUCUGUUCGA
RNAcentral lists this ribosomal RNA (825 nucleotides) under Luciola filiformis yayeyamana. Its description in RNAcentral is "partial 16S rRNA". Lineage: Eukaryota; Metazoa; Arthropoda; Insecta; Coleoptera; Lampyridae. The record is from RNAcentral.